UACGUAGGGUGCGAGCGUUAAUCGGAAUUACUGGGCGUAAAGCGUGCGCAGGCGGUUCGCUAAGUUUGAUGUGAAAGCCCCGGGCUCAACCUGGGAACUGCAUUGGAAACUGGCGAGCUUGAAUGCGGCAGAGGGGGGUGGAAUUCCGCGUGUAGCAGUGAAAUGCGCAGAUAUCAGGAGGAACACCCGUGGCGAAGGCGGCUCUCUGGGACGGUACUGACGCUGAGACGCGAAAGCGUGGGGAGCAAACAGG
Molecule: ribosomal RNA, 253 nt
Filed under: uncultured bacterium
Lineage: Bacteria
Description: partial 16S ribosomal RNA
Rfam family: Bacterial small subunit ribosomal RNA
Source: RNAcentral